Dermacentor andersoni is the source of this 442-nucleotide non-coding RNA. The record is from RefSeq and is a predicted model, not a curated record. Lineage: Eukaryota; Metazoa; Arthropoda; Arachnida; Ixodida; Ixodidae.
GACGGCGCGUUGCCCACUGACGGCUCCGCUAAAGCCAGCGAUAGGGCCGGUAGGCAUACCUGAACAUCGCCCCCGAGGGCUCCGAGGUCGCUGCGCAUGCGUAAGGUGAAAGGAGGUGAGAAAGGAGGCCAACUUGUUUUUACCGGAUGUGACGCAUCAGACACUUGUUUUUUUUACUUUUCUGAGAAAGGUACUCUCGACCUCACACAUUCUUGCUCGAUGCGUCGUUGCGGCGGCGAUUUGAUUUGCGAUUGCGAGGACGGUAAUGGUGGUUGAGACGCAGGUUGCACUAGGCCUUGCCAACUCCACGAUCAUCCAAACCUUCUUGCAUCAUGUCUACAGACGAACCUCGGUCCAAGUUGGUUUCGAAGACUUGUAAUACAUCAACUUACCAGGAAUACCAGGAUCUUUAAUAACCUUGCAGCCAAAGCCCCCCCCCCCA